This 368-nucleotide long non-coding RNA is filed under the name Aquilegia coerulea. RNAcentral describes it as "long non-coding RNA (ACOE_LNC000792)". The record is from RNAcentral. Lineage: Eukaryota; Viridiplantae; Streptophyta; Magnoliopsida; Ranunculales; Ranunculaceae.
UAUAAAGAAUUUGGUAUUACAUUAUAAGAAACCUUUUUGUUUGUAAUUUUCUGUCCUCUGACACAGUUUGACACAAAGGGUACGUUUGGUUCGUUGGAAUCUAAAUUCCAGGAAAAUCGCUAAUUUUAGGCACAGAAUCACUAGAUUUUAGGAGUGAAAUUGGAAAGCAGAUUCCGGUGAUGUGUAACUUAAGAGAAUUUUGUUUCCAUAUAUGAAAUAAGUAAACCAGUUUCCAUAAUUGAUAGUAGAAUACCGUCAAGUGUUUAAUCUUCAUCAGAAUUAUGGAAUUUGAAUUCCUCGAACCAAACACAGCCAAAGUGUUUAUUUAUUGUGUGAAUGACAAGGAGCCAAGGACUUUGAUUUUUGGG